GUCACUUGAAGGGCUCAGGGAGUAGCUCUGCUCUCCUUGUCUCUCACCCCCUACUUCUGCAGUCCUCAUCCCAUCUAGUCUGAAGCAGGGCCGAGCUGGGCUACAGUGCAUCUGUCUUGAGCUGCAGAAACUUGACUCUUUAACUGGGACAGACAGUGCUGUCAAGAUAAAGCUUCCAAGGAUACAGCCUCUCCAGCACCUUAAAUUUAUCCAACAGACUUCUGCCAGUCUGUCUGAAAUAACAGAGAAGUAGAGGCGAUUCCUGCUCUUCCUCUUUGAACUUGGGCCAGCCCUGUGAUUUGCCUUGACCAACUGGACAUGGAGGAAGUGAUACUGUGCCGGUGCUUAGCCCGGCCUUUGAGAGGCCUGGCAUCUUCAGCUCUCUCUCAGGAGAAUACUUGUACCUGGAUCUUCACUAGGGGCAGCCAGGGCAGAAUGCGGUGUUCUCAAGACUUCCAUGCUGGGUCAUCCAUACCUUGUUGGACUUGAUAAGUAUCGUAACCUAAUGAAGGAUGCCAUUCUGUGCUCUGCAAGGCCUGGGGGAGCCCCAGUGGGAAGGGAUCCAGAUGGUGCUGGGCCUGGGCCAAAAGUGAAAUGGGGGAGGAUGGGUCCUUUCUCUCCUUUGUCCCUAACCUCCCCACUUCCUACUGCUGUCUGACUCAGAACCCUCAUGAAAAACCCAACUUUUUACACUGAUAUUUCCCAGAGGCCUAAUUGUGCAACAAGAAAUAAAAACACAAUUAGAGAACUGAGGUCCAGCAGGAAAUUCAUGUUACAUAAAUAAGACCUGGAGUGCGUAGGGGAGUGCCCCAGCUCUCAGCCUUGUUAGUAUUGAAGGCUCCGAGCACACAGAUCUGGGAUCCUCUGAUUUGGUGGAUAACCCUUGUGAACAAUAGUUCUCUGAAAAGGUAUUUGGAGGAAAGAGACUUUAUUCCUGUAAACAGUUUUCAAACUAGGGGAAUGCAGCUUUCAGUGUAAAAUGAAGGUGCUUUCCAGACAACAAAGGAGGGGCUGGGCUUUUAUAGAGAAAGUUCCUGCCCUGUUCCCACUCAGGUCCACUUAUGCAAAUAAAGGAUUCAAACUUGCUUAAUCUGAUUGGUUGAUGCUUGCUGAGUUCUGAUUUGUUGACACAGGUCAUAGUCUAUUGGUUGGUUCCGGCAACAUAAACAAGAACAGGAAGCUAUGAAAGUCCCAAAGUUAAGCAGAUGUGGGUUUUCUGGGAACUCAAAAACAUGUGUGACUUCUAGUCAGCAAGUUGCCGCUUGGCUCUAAAUUGAAUUUAGGUCCUGUUAGCCAGAGUGUGAACCUUGAGAGAGCCGGCCUUUCAAGGUUCACACUCUUCACAUGGGCUGGAGAGAUUCCUAUCAUAACUGAUUUAUCCAUUCACCCAUUGACAGGCACUUGGAUUGCUUCCACCUUUAGCGUGUUGUGGAUAACAUCAACACUGCUACAAACAUGGGUGGACAAAAGGCUAGUUCUCCUCAAACAUGGUGUAUGUAGCUGGAGGGAAAAUGCCAAAAGCUGCAUUAUGAGAACCAGUAAAGUCAAAACUGGAAAGAUGGAUCAAAGUGUGAUGUCUCCCUGAAGCCCCUCCUACUAGGCUUGAGGUGAAGGAGAAGCACAAGAAGAAAAGUGCCUCAGUGCUCCAACAACUUUUUCCAAAGAAGCCCUCUUUCUCAUUUCUGACUUUAAACCUUUUAAAACUUUGAUUGGCUUAGAGCUAAGGGUUGGAAAACAUUGUCACUUCCCUCCUUUGCAAGUCUGUGUGGAUAGUUCUAUGUUAUCUCCAAAGGUGGCCACCAUCAUUUCCUUCUCUCCCUAUAUGUGAUUUCCUUCUCUAUUGGCUCCAUUCAUCAAGAAGUAGAGGCAAUUCCUGCUCUUCCUCUUUGAACUUGGGCCAGUCCUGUGAUUUGCCUUGACCAAUUGGACAUGGAGGAAGUGAUACUGUGCCGGUGCUUAGCCUGGCCUUUGAGAGGCCUGGCAUCUUCAGCUCUCUCUCAGGAGAGAAUGCAGCAGGCAUGUAAGAAGGCUGAUGAAUCAGACCACCAUAUUAUGAGGAAGCCCAAGCUAGCCACAUGGAAAGGGCACACAAAGGAAAGCUGAGGAAUGAAACCAACAGAAGCGUCAAGUCC
Long non-coding RNA from Gorilla gorilla gorilla (western lowland gorilla), 2132 nucleotides. RefSeq lists it as uncharacterized. The record is from RefSeq and is a predicted model, not a curated record. NCBI's taxonomy places the organism in Eukaryota, Metazoa, Chordata, Mammalia, Primates, Hominidae. The transcript is spliced from 3 exons.